Molecule: ribosomal RNA, 1119 nt
Filed under: Triticum aestivum (bread wheat)
Lineage: Eukaryota; Viridiplantae; Streptophyta; Magnoliopsida; Poales; Poaceae
Description: partial small subunit ribosomal RNA
Source: RNAcentral
UUUUCAGCUGUGGCAUCAAUAUCAGCUGGCAAUGAUGAAUAUGUCGGCAAUCUCAUUGCCGACGCAUUGGAGAAGAUAGGCCCUGAUGGGAUAAUCAAAAUCGACUCCUCAUCUUCCAUAUAUACUUCAGUUGAGGUGCAGGAAGGAAUGAAGAUAGACAAGGAUUACACCUCACCUCAUUUCAUCACAAAUCGAGACAAAGCAAUUGUUGAAUUUGAAAAUGCUAGAGUGCUUUUAACUGAUCAACGGGUGAAUGAAAUCCAAGAGAUACUUCCUUUGCUUGAGAAGACCACACAGUUGAGUGUCCCUUUGUUGAUUAUUGCCGAGGAUAUUUCGCAUUCGGUGUACUCGACUCUGGUUCUUAACAAACUGAAUGGUUUGCUCAAUGUUGCAGUUGUCAAAUGUCCUGGUUUGGGAGAUGAAAAGAAGGCUAUUCUGCAAGAUAUUGCCAUUAUGACAGGUGCAUAUUUCUUUGUUAGUGACCUUGGUUGGGGCCUUCAAGCAAUUACGUCUGAUCAGCUGGGCAUGGCUCAAAAGAUCACUAUCACGAGUGAAUCUACAACUAUAAUUGCACAUCCCUCUAUGAGACCAGAGAUUGAGGCUAGGAUUAUGCAAGUAAAGCAAGAUCUAGAGGAGACAACAAGUGCCUAUCUAAAAGAAAGGUUUUCCGCAAGAAUUGCUAAACUCUCAAGAGGUGUAGCAGUUAUCAAGGUACGGGCAGCCACUGAAGCUGAACUUGAGGACAGAAAGCUAAGAGUGGAGGAUGCGAAGAAUGCAACUUUUGCAGCCAUCAGCGAAGGCAUCACACCUGGUGGUGGUGUAACAUAUGUUGAACUGUCAAAGCAUAUUCCCAGUAUCAUGGAUCUCGUGGAUGAUCCGGAAGAGAAGAUUGGUGUAAAUAUUGUGGGGAAGGUAGUUCAUCCAUCCAUUUACUCCUGUAUCUUUGGUAGCAUUUGUAACACUUUUGCACUUCUGCAAAUUACAUAUGGUUCAGCUGUCAUAGAGAAGAUUCUUGAAAGCGAGUGGCGAGUUGGGUACAAUGCGAUGACCGACAAGUUCGAAGAUCUUGUUGAUGCUGGCAUGGUCGAUCCAUCCCGGGUUGAAAGAUGCGUGCUCUAG